UACAGAGGGUGCGAGCGUUAAUCGGAUUUACUGGGCGUAAAGCGCACGUAGGCGGACUGGAAAGUUGGGGGUGAAAUCCCGGGGCUCAACCCCGGAACUGCCCUUGAUACUGGUAGUCUGGAGUUCUGGAGAGGUGAGUGGAGUUCCGAGUGUAGAGGUGAAAUUCGUAGAUAUUCGGAGGAACACCAGUGGCGAAGGCGGCUCACUGGCCAGAUACUGACGCUGAGGUGCGAAAGCGUGGGGAUCAAACAGG
RNAcentral lists this unclassified non-coding RNA (253 nucleotides) under uncultured Rhodobacterales bacterium. Its description in RNAcentral is "contains 16S-23S intergenic spacer region". It matches the Rfam family "Bacterial small subunit ribosomal RNA", at positions 524 to 776 of the family's 1533-position model. Lineage: Bacteria; Pseudomonadati; Pseudomonadota; Alphaproteobacteria; Rhodobacterales. The record is from RNAcentral.